Molecule: ribosomal RNA, 479 nt
Filed under: uncultured bacterium
Lineage: Bacteria
Description: bacterial SSU rRNA
Rfam family: Bacterial small subunit ribosomal RNA
Source: RNAcentral
GAGCGGACCGAUGGGAGCUUGCUCCUUUAGGUUAGCGGCGGACGGGUGAGUAACACGUGGGCAACCUGCCCUGCAGACUGGGAUAACUUCGGGAAACCGGAGCUAAUACCGGAUAACACCGAAAACCGCAUGGUUUUCGGUUGAAAGGCGGCUUUUAGCUGUCACUGCAGGAUGGGCCCGCGGCGCAUUAGCUAGUUGGUGAGGUAACGGCUCACCAAGGCGACGAUGCGUAGCCGACCUGAGAGGGUGACCGGCCACACUGGGACUGAGACACGGCCCAGACUCCUACGGGAGGCAGCAGUAGGGAAUCUUCCGCAAUGGACGAAAGUCUGACGGAGCAACGCCGCGUGAGCGAAGAAGGUCUUCGGAUCGUAAAGCUCUGUUGUCAGGGAAGAACAAGUGCCGUUCGAACAGGGCGGUACCUUGACGGUACCUGACGAGGAAGCCACGGCUAACUACGUGCCAGCANCCGCGGUAAU